AGUCUUCCACUAGCAGCCUUUGGAUGAAGACAGAACUCUCAGCUCCUCCUGUGUCAUGCCUGCCUUGAUACUGCCAUGCUCCCACCUUGAUGAUAAUGGACUGAACCUCUGAACCUGUAAGCCAGCCCCAAUUAAAUGUUAUUUUUUAUAAAACUUGCCUUGGUCAUGGUGUCUGUUCACAGCAGUAAAACCCUAACUAAGACAGCAGUUGGUACCAGGAGUGGGGUAUUGCUGUGAUAGGCCUGACCAUGUUUUUAUUUGAAAGAAUGUAGAUUUUGGGACUUUGGAUUUGGAAAGCAGUGGAAUGCUUUAAAUGGGGCUUAAUGGAUCAUCCUAGUAGGAAUAUGGAAGACUUAGUUGCUGGCAGUAAUUUGUACUGUGUUGACCUGGCCCAAGAGAUUUCAAAGGAGAAGAAUUUCAGAAUGUGGCAUAAAGACUGGUUUUGUGGUAUUUUGGUGAAGAAUGUGGCUACUUUUUGCCCUUGUCUGAAAAGUUUGCCUGAGGCUAAGGUGAAGAGACUUGGAUUAAUUUCAGUGAGAAAAGAAGUUUCCAAAAAAAACCGAGCAGACACUUUGUUCUCUGGUUAAGUCUUAUGAAGAGAAGUUUGAACAAGCAUAGCAAGCUUAGGAAGGAUAAAAUAUAACAUAUAUGGUUUGAGUAUUAAAGAAGUACCAGGAAGUGAAAUAGAGCAAAAUCUUGUGUUAUAGGAGAUAAAGAUUAAGGGAGUGGGACUUUGGGGCAAGAUUCUACCCAGCUUAAUUAGAUCCAGGCAUGAUGGUACACACCUUUAAUCCCAUGAGACAGGCAUGCUGAUCUUUGCAUUCAAGGUCAAUCUACAGAGCAAGAACCAGGAUAGCCAAGCUUAGGCAGUGAAGGAUUUAGAAAACAUAAAGCUAGUGAUAAUGUAAUAGGACAAGGGGAUCAUGUUCUAGUUCCUGUAAGCAGCAGAACUCGGCAGCUUCAGGCAUAUGGCUCUGGCUCUAGAGUUAAGAAUUGAAGGAACUACUGGGAAAAUUGAUGCUGGUUAGCUGGAGCUAAGGUAUUAGCAGUGAUUAAGCAGAGACCAGCAUCACUAAGGUGAAAUCUUCUGGAAAUUGUUUUCUGGGAGCACAAAGAAGCUGUGGCCCAGAGAUACCCAAGGUUGUACCUCAUGCUACAGCUGGACUUGGUAAUGUGUAAGAGUCACUCAGGUGGUACUGCUUGUGAAGGAAUGAAGGGACAAUGUAGAGAAGCUGAGGCUUAACACUGUGAGAGACCAGGGAAGGCCAUUGGAAAAGGUGAAGCCUCAGCUGUAGUUGAUGGCCCAGGACUGAAGGGGUCAUGCAAAGGAAUUGAGGCUUGGCACCCUGAAGAGAGCCUAUGAGAGGCUAUUGGUGAAGCCUAGUUGGAGUGGAACACCCCAGUGUAUUGGAGAUGUCAGUACCAUGGGAUGAUCACCAAGAACAGCAGCCGUAGUGGAGUGGAUCAACCUGAGCAUAGAGUGCUACAGAGGACAGAGAUGGAGAAGUGAUGCCAGCCCUUAAGAGGAUUCCAAAAGAUCAAGUGGAAUCCCAGACACUGAAAGAAGAAGCUGUAACAUUGAAAUUGCCUUGGAGACUCAAAGAUUUUAAAGAUGCCAGAGCCUUGGGAUACAUGCUAAGGAAAACUGCUAACAGGGAGGGGAACCAGCCCAGGAGAAAGCAGUUUGUUGCAGUCAACAAAUAUGAAAAAGGAGUGGAGAUCUGAAGACCGCUUUGACAUCAGCCAUGGAGAUGCAUUGUUUGGAGUUUGCCCAGCUGGUUUCCUGCCUUGCCUUGGGGAUUACAGUUAAUUAAGUUGAAUAAAUCUCAGAAGAGACCUUGAACUUUGGACUUUUAACAUUGUUGCAACUGCUAUAGACUAUGAGGACUUUGAAAGUUGGAAUAAAUGCAUUUUGCAU
This 1918-nucleotide long non-coding RNA is filed under the name Mus musculus (house mouse). RNAcentral's name for it is "long non-coding RNA chr1:117820171-117822089". Lineage: Eukaryota; Metazoa; Chordata; Mammalia; Rodentia; Muridae. The record is from RNAcentral.